This 636-nucleotide ribosomal RNA is filed under the name uncultured organism. Its description in RNAcentral is "bacterial SSU rRNA". It matches the Rfam family "Bacterial small subunit ribosomal RNA", at positions 80 to 713 of the family's 1533-position model. The record is from RNAcentral.
UCGGCCAGGCGACGACCGGCGCACGGGUGAGUAUCGCGUUUGUAACCUACCUUUAAGUGGAAGAUAGCGCGAGGGAAAUUCGGAUUAAUAUUCCAUAAUACUAUAGUUUGGCAUCAUUUUAUAGUUCAAGCUCCGGCGGUUAAAGAUGGGCAUGCGUAACAUUAGCUAGUUGGUGAGGUAACUGCUCACCAAUGCUACGAUGUUUAGGGGGUCUGAGAGGAUGGUCCCCCACACUGGUACUGAGACACGGACGAGACUCGGGGGGGACGCAGCAAUGAGGAAUAUAGGUCAAUGGGCUAAAGCCUGAACCAGCCAUGCCGCGUGAAGGAUGACUGCCCUAUGGGUUGUAAACUUCUUUUAUACGGGAAGAAACCGUCCUACGUGUACGGCGUUGACGGUACCGUACGAAUAAGCAUCGGCUAACUCCGUGCCAGCAGACGAGGUAAUACGGAGGAUGCAAGCGUAAUCCGGAUUUAUAGAGGUUAAAGGGUGCGUAGGCAGAAAUUGAAGUCAGUGAUGAAAUGCUGCGGCUCAAGCGUAGAACUGUUAUAGAUACUGAAUAACUUGAAUACAGUAGAGGUAGGCGGAAUGAGUAAUGUAGCGGUGAAAUGCUUAGAUAUAAGUCAGAAAACCGAU